UAGGGAAUCUUCCGCAAUGGACGCAAGUCUGACGGAGCAACGCCGCGUGAGUGAAGAAGGAUUUCGGUUCGUAAAACUCUGUUGUUAGAGAAGAACAGCGCAUAGAGUAACUGUUAUGCGUGUGACGGUAUCUAACCAGAAAGCCACGGCUAACUACGUGCCAGCAGCCGCGGUAAUACGUAGGUGGCAAGCGUUGUCCGGAUUUAUUGGGCGUAAAGCGAGCGCAGGCGGUCAAUUAAGUCUGAUGUGAAAGCCCCCGGCUCAACCGGGGAGGGUCAUUGGAAACUGGUUGACUUGAGUGCAGAAGAGGAGAGUGGAAUUCCAUGUGUAGCGGUGAAAUGCGUAGAUAUAUGGAGGAACACCAGUGGCUAAGGCGACUCUCUGGUCUGUAACUGACGCUGAUGCUCGAAAGCGUGGGUAGCAAACAGG
This 429-nucleotide ribosomal RNA is filed under the name Bacteroidota bacterium. RNAcentral's name for it is "Bacteroidetes bacterium partial 16S ribosomal RNA". It matches the Rfam family "Bacterial small subunit ribosomal RNA", at positions 355 to 776 of the family's 1533-position model. Lineage: Bacteria; Pseudomonadati; Bacteroidota. The record is from RNAcentral.